This is a long non-coding RNA of Quercus lobata, 488 nucleotides long. RefSeq lists it as uncharacterized. The transcript is spliced from 2 exons. The record is from RefSeq and is a predicted model, not a curated record. Lineage: Eukaryota; Viridiplantae; Streptophyta; Magnoliopsida; Fagales; Fagaceae.
AAAGGGUUAAGUCAGAAUUUUUGUGGACCAAUAUGCCCCCACCUAACCCCACUACCCAUCACACAAUCCUCUCCCUCUUUUCUCUCUUUGGCCGGUCACUCCCACUCUUAUUCUCCUUUUCUUUUUCUUUUUCAGUCAACACAACACUCACACACACUCCUCUCCCUCACCCUCCCACCGGUACAUUCCUCAUCCUCACCUCUACCAUUUUUUCUUGCAAAUCACUAGAGAAUCCUCAAGAACAUCACACCUUCACAUAAGUAAAUUGAGAGUAGGCAACAAUCUUUUGAGACAGCAUUUUUGGUGGCUAAUAGUAGUUAGACUAACUACUGAUGGAGGCUGAAUUUUUGUGUAAUGGAUAUAUUAGAUGGUGUACAUCUUAGUCUAGGCUUGACUCAUUCUUUUGUAUAUUAUAGUGGUUAUGACUGUAUUUUCCACUGUUGGGACAAGCUGUUGUUAUGUAAUGGUUGUUUUCAGACCUCUAUUCU